RNAcentral lists this long non-coding RNA (1552 nucleotides) under Zonotrichia albicollis (white-throated sparrow). Its description in RNAcentral is "lncRNA (ENSZALG00000012390.1)". The record is from RNAcentral. Lineage: Eukaryota; Metazoa; Chordata; Aves; Passeriformes; Passerellidae.
AGUAACUCCACCCCCAACAGUUGUUUAGCCAAAACAUUUUUUAAAGGAAAAACAGCAGCAUUGCCAGACAAGUAUUGGGGUUUGAUUUUCACUGGCAGUUCCACACACAGAUUAAUUUCCUAGUCCUUAGAGGAACUCUGGGAUCACAGUUUCCUUCUUUCCCAUAUAAGUUUGAUUUACAUCAGCAGGUGGCAGGGUUCCUCCACCCCAUCCCUGUGUGGCCUCUGCCCCAGCACCCAGGCAUGCUCCAGCCCAGGAGCAGAGGGAGCCUGCGGCACCCUGAGGAGCGAGGCAUGGCAUGAGAGAGCCCUCCUGGCUGCAGGGCCUCAGGGCUGGCUUGUGAGCAUGGCCCCGACGUGCCUGCAGCCCCUGCUGAGGUACCGCUUCUUCGCCAUCCUCUUCCUCACGCCGCUGCUGCUGCUGCCGCUGCCCUUCGUCGUGCCCACGAAGGUAGGUGAAGAGAGCCCGGCUCCGGGCCUGCUGCCCCCGGGUGACCCCACUCCGCCCGGCUCCGGGCCCUCCCGGCGGCACCCAACCCACCGUGACAAUUAGAGGCAAUUCAUUCUGGGCCAGGACAAGCCCAGGCGUAGCUGGCCGGCAUUGGGAUUAUGUCCUAGCGAGGGGAGUCGGCGGAAGGGCAGGAGUGCUUCCCCCAGCUCUCUGCUGAGGGUCUGGUACUCCUAGCACGUUGCUUGGUGACAUUCUCCAUCCUGAUGCUGUCAGCGUUGUGCUGUGCGAAUUGGUCGGGAUUUCAAAUGCCAUGUCUUCCAAUUCAUCCAUCUUACUCCAGGGAUGGCGAAGGCACAACUCCUUUGCGUUCAGUGGAGUUACACCAGCGUAAAAUUGGGAUAACCCAGGAAAGUUUGAGCUUUUAAUGCCUUGUAGCCUUCUUGAUCAAGUGUGAAAGCUGAGUUUGCAGUGUUUUAGCCUACUAGAGCUUUGGAGGCUAUUCUAAUGCCAAAGCCAGCCCUUCUUUUGAGCAACUGGUAUCGCUCAAUCUGUUUUAAAGUGCGGGAAAAUUUUAUCUGUCUUUAUAAACCAAAUUGCCAACCUUUCUUGUUUACCUGUCUAAGUUAUACCGGCCUGGCCUUUCGGUUGAAUGGUGGUGCUUUAUACAAUGAGGAAUUCCUGACUGUUAAGCUCUACUUUGAUCAAAACUAGGAAAGAUAAUUUCCAAAAAAAUUAAGUAUGUCUUCAGUUUGCCAAUAUUUGUAGGCAUAUUUUGUCAUUAGUCUAACCUAAGAAAUUACAGUGUUUCGCAAUGGAAAGGCAAUAUUUCUGUCAGUGACUGCUUUUUCAUCUCUCAGCCAGGAGUCAGGCCACUGUGUUUUGUGUCAACCACACAGAAACACCAAAGAGACAUUCUGUGACUGUUUCCAUAAAUAUAUACAUUUAAUGCCAUAAAUAUAUAUGUAUUUAUACCUAUAAAUAUGUAGGUAUAAAUACAAAUAUAUAUUUAAUUCCAAAUCUUUUGUUGUUUGAAUUGGCCACAGUUGCUGGAGUUAAAUUAUAAGCAAGGCUCACAUAAAUUAUUGACUCUCUACUCUCUAAA